UGGGGAAUAUUGCACAAUGGGCGCAAGCCUGAUGCAGCGACGCCGCGUGCGGGAUGGAGGCCUUCGGGUUGUAAACCGCUUUUGUUCAAGGGCAAGGCACGGUCUUUGGCCGUGUUGAGUGGAUUGUUCGAAUAAGCACCGGCUAACUACGUGCC
Molecule: ribosomal RNA, 155 nt
Filed under: uncultured bacterium
Lineage: Bacteria
Description: partial 16S ribosomal RNA
Rfam family: Bacterial small subunit ribosomal RNA
Source: RNAcentral